AAAAGAAACUAAGCGCCAGAACUUUUUAAGUUGACGAGGACUGGAAUCAUCGAACAUUCGGCGGGUAUUCCAGAGGUGACUACAACCUUAGACCUUCUACAAAUCUAAAAGGUGACUUUUAGGACAAAGGAAAGUAAGUAGUGAU
Regulatory RNA element from Cetobacterium somerae ATCC BAA-474, 145 nucleotides. It matches the Rfam family "glmS glucosamine-6-phosphate activated ribozyme aptamer". Rfam says of the family: This entry contains a glucosamine-6-phosphate activated ribozyme that is found in the mRNA for GlmS. GlmS is an enzyme that uses fructose-6-phosphate and glutamine to generate glucosamine-6-phosphate. The ribozyme catalyses self cleavage of the glmS mRNA that is thought to regulate GlmS activity. Lineage: Bacteria; Fusobacteriati; Fusobacteriota; Fusobacteriia; Fusobacteriales; Fusobacteriaceae. The record is from Rfam.